Non-coding RNA from Pelobates cultripes (western spadefoot toad), 37992 nucleotides. NCBI's taxonomy places the organism in Eukaryota, Metazoa, Chordata, Amphibia, Anura, Pelobatidae. The record is from the annotation of a GenBank genome assembly.
CUAAGGGCUAUUUGAAGCUGUAGGAGCUGUAAGUAUUAAAUGACUGGCCAUGUGCUUUACAAAACUCUAUUUUAUUCAGAGUGAUUCUAUUGCUUUUUAGCUUAUGUACCAAACAAACUCACAAUAUUAUAGACUAUAAUUGUCCAAUUUGAACUAUCUUUUAUAUUAAUUGUGUAAUAUACAUAGUACCACUUUUUAUCCUUUUUUUUUCAGUUUUAAAUACCAACAUCUUCCUCUCUUGCUGGCUGGAUUGAAGAGGUACGGAAAUUAGAGUGUAAAGGAUGGAUUUAUUUGGUAACUGGUUGUGUUGGCUCCUGGGACUUGUUGCUACAAAAGAUUCCAAUCAUUUCCUGGUGCCCUAGCGGUCCAUAGAGCUGCAUGCUCUGUCUCUGCUCUUAGGAUGAGGGGCUCUAGAGCUGCAUGUUCUCAGGAUGAGGGACUCUAGAGGUGCAUGUUCUCAGGAUGAGGGGCUCUAGAGGUGCAUUCUCUGUCUCUGCUCUCAGGAUGAGGGGCUCUAGAGCUGCAUGCUGUGUCUCUGCUCUCAGGAUGAGGGGCUCUAGAGGUGCAUUCUCUGUCUCUGCUCUUAGGAUGAGGGGCUCUAGAGCUGCAUGUUCUCAGGAUGAGGGACUCUAGAGGUGCAUGUUCUCAGGAUGAGGGGCUCUAGAGGUGCAUUCUCUGUCUCUGCUCUCAGGAUGAGGGGCUCUGCAUGCUCUGUCUCUGCUCUCAGGAUGAGAGGCUCUAGAGAGGCAUGCUCUGUCUCUGCUCUCAGGAUGAGGGGCUCUAGAGGUGCAUUAUCUGUCUCUGCUCUCAGAAUGAGGGGCUCUAGAGCUGCAUGCUCUACCUCUGCUCUCAGGAUGAGGGGCUCUAGAGGUGCAUUAUCUGUCUCUGCUCUCGGGAUGAGGGGCUCUAGAGCUGCAUGUUCUAAGGAUGAGGGGCUCUAGAGCUGCAUGCUCUGUCUCUGCUCUCAGGAUGAGGGGCUCUAGAGGUGCAUUAUCUGUCUCUGCUCUCGGGAUGAGGGGCUCUAGAGCUGCAUGUUCUAAGGAAUGAGGGGCUCUAGAGCUGCAUGCUCUGUCUCUGCUCUCAGGAUGAGGGGCUCUAGAGCUGCAUGGUCUGUCUCUGCUCUCAGGAUGAGUGGCCAUAGCAAUGCAUGCUCUCAGGAUGAGGGGCUCUAGAGCUGCAUGUUCUGUCUCUGCUCUCAGGAUGAGGGGCUGUAGAGGUGCAUUAUCUGUCUCUGCUCUCAGGAUGAGGGGCUUUAGAGCUGCAUGUUCUCAGGAUGAGGGGCUCUAGAGCUACAUACUCUGUCUCUGCUCUCAGGAUGAGUGGCCAUAGCAAUGCAUGCUCUCAGGAUGAGGGGCCAUAGCAAUGCAUGCUCUCAGGAUGAGGGGCUCUAGAGCUGCAUGUUCUGUGUCUGCUCUCAGGAUGAGAGCCUCUAGAGCUGCAUGUUCUGUCUCUGCUCUCAGGAUGAGGGGCUCUAGAGCUGCAUGUUCUGUCUCUGCUCUCAGGAUGAGGGGCUCUAGAGCUGCAUGUUCUGUCUCUGCUCUCAGGAUGAGUGGCUCUAGAGCUACAUGCUCUACCUCUGUUCUCAGGAUGAGGGGCUCUAGAGCUGCAUGUUCUGUCUCUGCUCUCAGGAUGAGGGGCUCUAGAGCUGCAUGCUCUACCUCUGUUCUCAGGAUGAGGGGCUCUAGAGCUGCAUGCUCUACCUCUGCUCUCAGGAUGAGGGGCUCUAGAGGUGCAUUAUCUGUCACUGCCUCGGGAUGAGGGGCUCUAGAGGUGCAUUCUCUGUCUCUGCUCUCAGGAUGAGGGGCCAUAGCAGUGCAUGCUCUCAGGAUGAGGGGCUCUAGAGGUGUUGGAGUUUAACCCCAGAUCACAGACCAACUUAAUCCCAAAAAUCCUGUUUCACAAUAACUUCUAUGGCUUUCACUAACAAACAUAGUAUUAACAGUAUAUUGUCCAUCCCUCCGCCACUCGAAAGAUUAAUGACACCGUUACUGAUUUUUAACAUGGGUUUUGAUCUUUAUGCUUAUAAGUAAUCAAAGCAUCACAAAUGGCACACACAGCGCAGGCGUUAACACUCAGGCGGUGUAGUAAGUGCAAUGGUACACUGACUAAUCAAUGUAUUUCCUCUUUCAGCCAGUCAAAACCGCAGCCAUGAGCAGCGAUGCAGAGAUGCAGAUUUACGGCGUGGCCGCAGUGUUCCUGCGCAAACCCGAGAAGGAGCGUAUUGAAGCUCAGAACCAACCGUUUGAUGCCAAAACCCACUGCUACGUGACUGACCCAACUGUGGAUUAUGUAAAGGGAAAAAUUAAGAGCUCAGAUGGUGGUAAGACCACUGUGGAGACGGACGAUAAUCGGGUAAGGAAUUAUCAUUACGGACAAUCUUGGCGAAUAAUUCACAAUGGGUUUUAUUCACGGAACCCCGAACUGUAGAAAAUUGGGGAAAAAACAAAACAAAAUUUAGGCAACAAAGGUGAAUGAUUUUUAAAAGCAACCAAAAAACUUUCUAAAGUUGUGCAAUCUCCAUGAUGUACAGUGCAAUGAUCAAAACCAUUUCACUAGUUUCCAUGGUGACUGCACAACCUUUACAACAGGAUCAGCAAAAUGAUACAUCCUCAGCUGGUGCAAAACUACAACUCUCAUAUUACUUUACCAGUCCGAAAGUUGGCAGAUAAUUCUAGGAGUUGUGGUUUGGCAACAAAUUGGGAUCUACAUCCUGGCUAGAACUUAGAACGUAUCUUCUUCCCAUCUGAAUCUCACCCCAUCGCUCAGUAUAUGGCAAAAUAGUAAGAUACAAUUUUUUAAAAAGGAUUUAUUUAAAAUGUGAUUGAUAAUAUAUAGCAAAGAUGAUGGUUAAAUUAGAACUGACAUCCAGGAAAGGUCUUGUGGAAAAUUCAGUCUUUAUGUUAAAGGGACACUAUAGUCACCAAAACAAUUUUAGCCUAAUGAAGUAGUUUUGGUGUAUAGAUCAUGCCCCUGCAGUUUCGCUGUUCAGUUCUCUGCCAUUUAGGAGUUAAAUCACUUUGCUUAGGCAGUCCUAGACACAGCUCCCUGCAUGUGGCCUACAGUCUCCCUACACACUUCAUGUAAAGAAACAUCCAAUUACAUAUAAUUUCAUAGGUUUAUAGGCUGAAAAGACUUGGGUCCAUCAAGUUAAGCCUUUCUCACAUCUGGUUUUCUGUUUCUUAAGCUUCAUUUACUGCACAGCCUGUUUAAUUUAUAAUGUCUUAUCCCAUGAUCUAAUAUCCUUCUAGGCUCUGCAGGAUUCUCCUGUGUGUGUGAGUAAUGUUCAACAGAGCAGGAGAGAAAAACUUCUAAAGUAAACACAGUGUACUGAAAACAGCAAAACAUAUAAUCAUUUUUAUGUUGGCUGCGGGAGUCACAGCCAGUGGAGGUGUGACUAGGGCUGUAUAAACAAAGUGAUUAAACUCAUAAAUGGAAGAGAAAUGAGCAUUGAGACCGCAGGGGCAUGAUCUAUACACUAAAACGCUUAAUUAAGAUAAAGUUGUUUUGGUACUUAGAGUAUCCCUUUAAGAUAAAACUAUUAGCGCCAAAUGUAUAAAAUAAACUAUAUUUUUGUAGUUUGGCAUAUUUCUUACAAUAUCAUCAGGCUAUGUCUGAUAUAUAUUAUAUGUGUACAUUUGCAAGCAUGCUUGCUGCUCAGUGUUCAAAUGAAAAGUUACCUCGACCAUACCGUGUCCUUUUUCUUAAGACAGAUGUAGUUUAAUUUUUGGAAAUACUAAAUACUUCAUGAAACUGCACAGUUGUAUUAUGGACGUUUAAAUGAAUGCAAAGCUCUAUUCUAGUGUCCUUGUCCCUAGUUACACAGGUCCCCAUCCCCUUUGUGUGUCCCAUAAAAAAUUAUAAAACAAUUGUUUUUAUUUAACUUUUUGCAGUACCAAAACUCCCUUGGCGCUACUCACCUCUCCUCCUCUUGCAAGGUCAUGGAGGAAGUGUAGCCUCCUCCAGCGAUGGGUCCAAUCCAAUCCUUUUUAUUGACAGGCAUUGGGGACCUGAUGCACAUGUAUAUGUGUAUGUGUACAUUCUGGCCCGGUUUAUUCACUAAACUGUGAAUUGAAUAUAGACUUAUAAAUUCAGAAUGAAACAGCCAAGCUGUAUUUAUAUAUGUGAAAUGGAGAAUUUUACCAGCUCGACUAUUCGGCCUACAUUUUGAUUUUCAAAUCACUCUAAUUCUAUUACCUAAUAAUGGUGGGGAACAUCUUACCGCUCAUUGUUUUGUUUUUUUUGUCACGUUCCAAUCUAUUCCUGCAAUCGAGAUGUUCUAUGAUUAGAGCAUAAACAUUUCAGUAAAUGCUUUAAUUACAAGCUACUCCAAUUUGUUACUAAUAAGCCCACUUGUGUCUGUAUGUCCGACGUGUCUGAAAUCAAACUACAUUUGUGUGUAUAUUUGCCUCUGUCUCAUGCAUUUGUCAUUUUUCGAUUUUUCGCUAAUACUUGUAUUUAAGUAAAGAUUAUCUUAAUCUUUCUACCCAGUAUGUUUCAAUUUUUUGCUUUUAUGUCUUGUAUGUAAGCGAGUCAAACAAAUCGAUUGGUUCUCCAUAACAUUCAAGUGUGACAUAAGAAUAAGGACACUAAUAAAGAAAUAGAAAUUUGCAUGCUAUAAUUAUAUCCCCCUCUCCCCCCAAAUAAUUGUCUUUUAUAUUGGCCAGGAUCUGCAUUAGUUUUAUAUAGUAAUUAUAAAAGGAACACAUGAAAAAGAUAAUGAAAAAAAAUAUAAAAAAUACCUCUACUGAUCCAUUGACUGUAAAAAAAAAAAAAUAUAAAAAUCCAUGAUUAAAAUUGUGUAAGGGAAAAAGAUAUAACACAUACAGAGAAAUAUAUCGUCUACGUUACGUAGUUACUGGCCCCAUAGAUACUCUGAAUGAAGUCAUAAUAGUUGUACUUAUAUCCAUUUUCUGGCACACAACUUGUUUACCAUAAUUGACCUCAGUCGAGCAACUUGCUUGUCGAAAGACCUGCUCUUCUUAAUUCAAUCUUUCUUAUUAAAAUCUCAGACCGUCACCGUUAAACCUGAAAAUGUGUUCCCUAUGAACCCGCCUAAGUUUGACAAAAUAGAGGACAUGGCGAUGCUGACCCAUCUAAAUGAGCCAGCCGUGCUGUAUAAUCUGAAGGAGCGCUACAAGGCCUGGAUGAUCUAUGUAAGUGAAGCUUCCAUAUCUCCUGGACAAUCUUUCUUCCUCUUUGAGGGCAUCGUGAGAGACUGGGGAUUUUCAUCAAAGUAUGAGACAUAGUAAGGAAUGUAAGGGGAAUACAGAGGUAUUUGCAAGACAUUUUAUAGAUUCCUGGUAAGAUCUCACCAAGAAUAUUAUGUUCAGUUCUAUAGAGUUGAUCCUCAGGAAGACAUAGAAAGGUAGUAAUAGUACUAUAUAGAUCCCUGGUAAGAUAUUACCUAGAUUAUUGUGUUCAGUUCUAUAAAGCAGAUCUCCAGGAGGACAUAAAGAGGUAGUGAUAGUAUGUUAUAGAUCCCUGGUAAGAUCUCACCUAGAGUAUUGUAUUCCGUUCUAUAGAGCAGAUCCCAGGAGGACAUAGAGAGGUAGUGAUUGAAGUUUAUAGAUCCCUGGUAAGAUCCAGUGGCGGAUCCAGAGACUGAUCUCGGGGGGUGCACUUUUAUAUAAUUUAAAGAAAUAAUCCAUGCACAAUAAUCACUACAGCUUUGUGUAGUGGUUAUGGUGCCAGCAGCGCCGGGACCCCCUCCCAGAGUAAGUAGUCAAACCGUUUAAGAACAGUUUAACAACUUACCUGGGAUCUGCUGGGAUAUGGGGCUGUAGUAGGGCAUAGGAGCAGUGGUGUAAUGUGAGGGGUGCAGUGUGUGUGUAUGUGGGGGAGGUGUAGUGUGUGAAUGUGUAGGGUGCAAUGUGUGUAUGGGGGCUGUAAAUGUGUGUGUGGGGCAAUGUGUGUGUGUGUGUGGCAGUAUGUGUAUGGGUGGGCAGUGUAUAUGUGUGUGUGGGGGCAGUGUGUGUAUGCGGGACUGUAUGUGUGUGUAUGUGUGGGGGGGCAGUGUGUGUAUGGGGGACUGUAUAUGUGUGUGGCAAUGUGUGUGUGAGGGGCAGUGUGUGUAUGGGUGGGCAGUGUAUAUGUGUGUGGGGCAGUGUGUUUGUAUGUGGGCAGUGUGUGUAUGGGGCAGUGUAUGUGUGUGUAUGGGGGCAUGUGUAUGUGUGUAUGGGGGGUGUGUGUAGUGAGGGGCAGUGUGUGUAUGGGGCAGUGUGUUUAUGGGGGCUGUGUAUGUGUGUGGGGGGCAAUGUGUGUGUGUGGGGCAGUAUGUGUAUGGAUGGGCAGUGUAUACGUGUGUGUGGGGGCAGUGUGUGUAUGGGGGGACUGUAUGUGUGUGUGUGGGGCAGUGUGUGUGGGGGACUGUAUGUGUGUGUGGCUAUGUGUGUGUGAGGGGCAGUGUGUGUAUGGGUGGGCAGUGUAUAUUUGUGGGGGCAGUGUGUUUGUAUGUGUAAAGGUGUGUGUAUGGGGGCAGUGUAUGUGUGUAUGGCUGGGGUCAGUGUAUGUGUGUGUGGGGGCAGUGUAUAUGUGUGUGUGGUGGUGGUGUGUCAAUGGGGACUGUAUGUGUGUGUGGGGGAGGUGUGUGGGGCAGUGUGUGUAUGGGGACUGUAUGUGUGUGUGGCAAAUGUGUGUAUGGGGCAGUGUGUGUGUGUAAAGGCAGUGUGUGUAUGGGGCAGUGUAUGUGUGUAUGGGGGCAGUGUGUGUGUGUGUGGGGGGUGUGUGUAUGGGGGGGCAGUGUAUUGCAGUGUAUGUGUGUGGGGGGGCAGUGUAUGUGUGGGGGCAGUGUAUGUGGGGGCAAUGUGUGUGUAUGGGGGGCAAUGUGUGAAUGUGUGGUGAGGAGGGUAGGGGGGCUUUUUGAUAAAAAUAAAUAAAGAAUUUAUAAAAUUUAAUACAUCUAUGUCCCCCCUCCCUUCUUACCUUUACUGGGAGGAGGGGGGACAUUUCUCCAUCCUUGGUUGUCCGGUGGGGAUUACCUGGUGGUCACAGUGGUAGGAGUGAACUCUAUCCCGUAGCUCCAGGGCUAGAGUUCACUCUCGCGAGAUUUGGAGCGUUGCCGUGGUAACCUCGGCAACACUCCGUGCUUGCGAGAGUAGGACCCGGAGGUGCUGCAGGCUGAGCUCCAGGGUCCUCUCUCCCUCCCCUGCUGGCUGCCAGCAUAGUGCCGGCGAACAGGGGAGAGAGAUUUCUGAUCUCCCUCCCCAGUCCGCAGGCACGUUGCAGGGCUGGCAACAGGGUAAGCCGGAUUCGUCAGUGGUAAGCUCUCACCUAGAGUAUUGUGUUCAGUUCUAUAGAGCAGAUCCCAGAAGGACAUAGAGAGGUAGUGAUAGAACUUUAUAGAUCCCCAGUAAGAUCUCACCUAGAGUAUUGUGUUCAGUUCUAUAGAGCAGAUCCCAGGAGGAUAUAGAGAGGAAGUGAUAGUACUUUAUAGAUCCCUGGCAAGAUCUCACCUAGAGUAGUUGGUUCAGUUCUAUAGAGAAGAUCCCAGGAGAACAUAGAAUCAUAACAUGUUUUAGAUUGCUGCUUUAGAAUUUGCUCAUAUUACAUAAGUAUGUUAAUAUAUGAAACUCACAUUGUUUGUUCUUUUUAAGACCUAUUCCGGCCUGUUCUGUGUCACAGUAAAUCCCUACAAGUGGCUGCCCGUGUACAACCAAGAAGUGGUCAAUGCUUACAGAGGCAAAAAGCGUCAGGAGGCCCCACCACACAUCUUCUCCAUCUCUGAUAACGCCUAUCAGUUCAUGUUAACUGGUAAGUAUCAAAGCAUGUCUGAGAAACACACAGGAUAAUUCAUCAUACUAUAUGGAAUGUUAAAAAAUCUCAUGUAUCUACUACACAUUUUCAGAGUAAUACAAUUCUCAAAAGAAUGUGUUUCAUUUGUAUUUAUGUUGUUCACUCUGCAUUGUAUGUUUAGAAGAGUUUUAAUCCACUGUUUUGGCAGAAGCGCCUCUAGUGGAUGCCAGUAGGACAGCCACUUGAGGUUAAUACUGUAAUAAAAACUGAUUUUCAACUGCACGGCUAAAAACGGUGGGACACAGGACCCAGACCACUUCAAUGAGAUGAUGGGUGCCUAUAGAGUUCCUUUGUAAGAUGCUGUACCAAUAAUUGCACAUUCGUAUAAUACCUCAGAUAAUGUAACAUAAGUUUUCGUUGCCUGCAAUGUACUGUCAGUGCUGUGUUAAAAUACUGAUUGUAAGAUCAGGAGGGGAUGACUUAUUUUGCAAAAAAAUAAAUGUAUAUUCCGUUGCAUGUUUUAUGAUAAGAUCAUUUUAACAAUAUAAUUCUCUAUUUCCACAGAUCGUGAGAAUCAGUCUAUUCUGAUCACGUAUGUAUAAUCCUAAAUUCUUGUCGUCUAUGUGGCUAUGUGUGCAUGACUUUGCAAGAGUUAACUCAUUUGCAAAUAAAAUAAAAUAUAAUGAAUUAAAAACAAAAAUAGCAAUGACCCGAAUCAGUCCUUUCCCCAGUGACUCUCCGGUAAGUGCCAUGAUCUUGCCAACUAUGAGAGCCGGCUGACUUUUGCUGCCUCAUUGAGGGACAGACUGAUGCCUUAUCAUUAAGUCUAUACAGAUCUUGCAGACUCUCUCCUGUCUUAUUCUGCUGUGACCUUUAUGAUUUAAGCUUGGAGCGCUGGACUAACUAUCUGCAUCACAUCAGAGGUCUUUGCAUGAGUAAAACAGCUCUCUUUAACAAAAGAAAAUGUUUAACUUUCAAAAUCUAGCAACCGUACCCACACAGGGUUGUCAAACAUGCGGCCCCCCAGAUGUUGCUGAACUACAACUCCCAUGAUUCUUUCAAUGAAACAGAUAGCCAGGGAAUCAUGGGAGUUGUAGUUCAGCAACAUCUGGGGGGCCGCAUGUUUGACACCUAAUAUGAGGACUCUCCUCUGUUUAUACUUGCGGUUAGACAUGUUUGCAUAGCCUUUUUAUUUAGCAUGUUAAUAAUAUACCAUAAAAAAAGCACAAUGUUCUGCUUUAUAAUGUAACUACUAGCCUACGGUAAUCUUACUAAACCUAACCUUAAGCGUUUGACAAAACUUCUACUAACACAAAAAUUGUGCAUAUUUAACAAUGCCACUUCACUGUAUCAUCCUUUACCAAAUAUUGCCUGCAUAUGCUGUUGUGGUAAAAAAAAUAGCACAACCAAUAGCUAACUUUUAUUUUUCCAUUAGGUUGUGCUAAAAUUUAGGAAGGGACAGUUCCUCUUUAAAUUCUGGUAAACUUAUUGUGCCAUGAAAAUGACACUAUAAAACUGUGCUUUAUUUUUUUGUAAUUUACAAAAAGGGCACUGUUUUGUUGAUUAUUGUAUAAUGGACUUCUGUGUGCAGACUGUUUGGUCAAACUAUGUUUCAAGCAGUUUGACAAAAGACUGAGGAAUCUUUAUUGGCCAAAGGCCACCCCUGUAGCCUAGACUGUCAUAGGGAAAUGUCCCCUUCUUCAUAAAAUAUAUGACAGACACGCAGGAUUUGGCCUUAAAUUCUUUGUUCUUUUGUCUGAACCGAAUUCACCAAGGCUCUUGUGAAAAACUUUAAAGGGACACUAUAGUCACCAAAACAAGUUUAGCUUAAUGAGGCAGUUUUGGUGUAUAGAUAAUGCUCCUGCAGUCUCACUCCACAAUUCUCUGCCAUUUAGGAGUUAAAUCACUUUUGUUUCUGUUUAUGCAUCCCCAGCCACACCUCUCCUGGUUGUCACUCACACAGCUUGCAUGGAAAGAAAUGGUUUCACUUUCAAUCAGAUGUUAACUUACUUUAAAAUGUUUUAUCUUCUGCUCUGUAAAUUUAACUUUUAAUUACAUUCAGGAGGCUCUUGCAAGGCCUAGGAGGCAAUACCAGAGCAGGAGAUAAGAAAUUUUAAAUUAAAGGGACACUAUAGUCACCAGAACAACUAUAGCUUAUUGCAUUUGUUCUGGUGAGUAGAAGCAUACCCUUCAGGCUUUUUGCUUCAGAGAAAAUGCAGUGUUUACAUUACACCCUAGUGAUAACUUCACUGGCCACUCCUCAGAUGGCUGUUAGAGAUCCUUCCUGGGUCAUGGCUGCCUAAAAUGCAUCCAAACAUUCAGUGUCUCAUUCCUCUGCAUGCAGACACUGAACUUUGCUCAUAGAGAUUCAUUGAUCAAUUCAUCUCUAUGUGGAGAUGCUGAUUGGCCAGGGCUGUGUUUGACUUGUGCAGGCUCUGCCCUGAUCUGCCUCCUUCACAGUAUCAGCCAAUCCUAUGGGGAAGCAUUGUGAUUGGCUCAGAACAACAAUUCUGGUGAUGUCAGCAGACAGCUUGCUAUUCUGAGGCAGACAGGGGCAAAACCAGCAGCUUCAGGCUUGAAUACAAGAAAGAUUUUACUAUAUUUAGAGAGGCAAGAGAGGGUCUGGGGGGCUAGAUGGUGGUUUUAACAGUAUGGCAUCAGAAAUAUAUGUUUGUGUUCCUGAUCCUAUAGUGCUCCUUUAAUCAGUAUUUUCAAUACAGGAAGUGUAAACAUUAGAUGACUCUUUACAGGAAGUGCUUGGGAAGACUGUGCAAGUCACAUGCAGAGUGUGACUGGGGCGGUAUAAACAAAGGGAUUUAACUCCAGGGGCAUGAAGUUUUUCUGUUGACUAUAGUGUCCCUAUAAUCUGUGAAAUAAGGUGAAAUGACCCCCCUCAUUUUCAUUUAUUGCAUGUUUGACAAUCUCUGCUUGAGUUGAUGCACUUCAUGCGAUAUAAAUGCUGGGAUUGUAUUGAUUUCUCCUGCUUUCCUAACCCCGAUCCUGUGACCUGUUUUAUUGCAGCGGAGAAUCUGGUGCCGGGAAGACUGUGAACACCAAACGUGUCAUCCAGUACUUUGCAACAAUUGCAGCUGUUGGUGACCCUAAGAAGAAGGACACAGGCAGUAAAAUGAAGGUGCGAUCUUUCAGAAAAAUGGAAAUAGUUGCUUGUGAAUGUUAGCUGAUUAUUUUAGACAACGUUGCAAAAUAUAGAAUUUUUUUCUGUUCCCAUUUAUUCUAUUCCACUAAUGACAAUCUAAUUCACACUCUGAGAAAAGGGCCUGUAAUUACUGAUGUCCUGUUAUGAAGCAAUCAACAUUAGUUAACCCAUAUUAUUCUUUGAGAUGUAAUUUCACUAUUCUGUUUUUUUUUUAUUAUUAAUUUUUUUUCUGUUCUUUUCCUAAUAGGGCACUUUGGAAGAUCAAAUCAUUCAGGCUAACCCUCUGCUGGAAGCCUUUGGCAAUGCCAAAACCGUGAGGAAUGACAACUCAUCCCGUUUCGUAAGUUAUGCUCCCAACAUUAGUUUUAAAAAGCUAGAUGUGCUACACAUGUUAAAAGAAAUAAUGAGCGAUUGGUACAGCAAUCACUAAGUUCCUAAAUACCUGAUCUCUGUGUGCAUGGCCUGCUAACGCUGCACAGGACAUAUAUGGUUCUAGCACUUGCCGGCUGCUGGAGUCAUGAAGUGUGAUAUCAUGUAUCCUAGUAAACUUCCAUCAGUACAUCCAGCCCAGCAUGACAGGGCUUUCUCAAAGCCCUGUGCAAGCAGACUCCAUUUGCCAUGACUCCGUUGCCGCUCUUGGCAAGAGUUUGUCAUGUCUUGAGUUCUGUCUCAUCUCAACCUGCGGUCACUUGUAAACACUUCCAUAGACACCAUACAAACUUUUCGCAGUCCAGCAACGUAGUCUGCCCAAAAUACAAAAUUUUCCCUGAAAACGUCCCAGAGGGCCAGUACAGGCCUGGAGAAAACUGAGAGCAUAGGCCACCAGCCAGAACAUAAACCCACACAGUACCAGACUAUCAAAGACUCUGCACUACUCUGCCAACUGAUACCCCAACACUCCUCUCAUUUAACACUAGAGAGAAUAUUUACAGGGUUAUUCAUUAAAGGGAGAAUUCAAAGUAAAUUUAGAAUUUAAGGCCAAAGUUGCCAAAAUUUAAAAAAAUAGUUAACUUACAUAUUUUUUUGUAGAAACGCGUUUCCUUAUUACGUUGUCAAUCUGCGCAAAUUAAAAUGAGUCUGUUAUCAUUAAUGGAUGGGAAUUUUAAAGGUUUUAAAAGAUUACAGUAACCACCGAUUGGCAUUUAUCCAGCUAAUGUCCAGCUGUAGAAGAUGAGAGGAUGAUUGUAUCUUGUUUUUACGCGGCAGGGUAAAUUUAUUCGAAUCCACUUUGGUACCACUGGAAAGUUGGCUUCAGCAGAUAUUGAAACAUGUGAGUAGAUCCUGAUGAUUUUUCUACAAAAGCAGAGUUAGGCACCAUUUUCUCGUGUUAUCAUUAGCAACUUUGUUUGAUUAUAUAUAAUUUACUUCCAUACAUUAGAAAGGGGAUCUCACCUUUUUGAGCUUGCAUAGUUUACUAACCGUAAAGACAAAAAGCUACCGAAAAAUGUUCAGUCAUAUAAAUAUGGACAAAUCAUGUAACCUGAUGGCAAAUAAAACGUAUAUUUCUAGGUAAAUCUUGUACUCAAAAACUUCCCCAAUUUUAGUUGGUGCUAAGGUAAUUUUAUACGUCUUCCAGUCCGAGUUACAAAUAUUUCACGAUGGUCCUCCCUGCUUAAUUCUCUACACGAGAUUCUCCGAUAAUUUAUGAUUCCUCUUUUGGCAUUAAUAAUUUGCACACCGUGACCAAAUGCCUUAUCCAUAAAUGAUGUGUUUUUAGCAGCCUACAUCAUUUAGAAUACAGAGAGGGGCAAUGGCUUUAUGAAUUGCCUUUAACCCCUUCAGGACACAUUACAUGUGUGACAUGUCAUGAUUCCCUUUUAUUCCAGAAGUUUAGUCCUUAAGGGGUUAAAAUAAGUGUUCAGAACUAUGUGGAUAGAUAGCGGGUCAUAAUAAGUAAAGGGUGGGAGGUUCCACACAUAAAACACUUUUUGAGGGCCUUAUCACUGCUUAGUUAGCUCACACAUGCAUCUGGUUAGCCACAUACAUUCUACCAACUUUUGAUCUAAUUCCACCAUCUUCAACUGUUUCUGUAUAUAAUUAUGAAUACAGACUUAUUCCUCUAAUUGUAGAUCUCCUGGAAAAAUCCAGAGUAACCUUCCAGCUUGCGGCAGAGAGAAGCUAUCACAUCUUCUAUCAGAUUAUCUCCAAUAAAAAGCCAGAACUCAUUGGUAUGUACUAAAGAGUGCUGUUGGAAUCCAUUCUUUAUGGGGGCUCAUAUAUACUCUUAAAAUAGGGAAUAUAGUGAAAUCUGCAUUUUUCUUCGUUAUUUUGCCUCUUUAUAUGAUAUGUCCAAUGUACAUGUAUAACAUUGAUAUUUUAGGUAAAUAAGGUUUAAUCACUAACUCGUGCCAUAUGACGAGUAGCCAACAGAGUUGUAACAUUUAGGGCAAUAUGGCAGAGAUUUACUUUUUAACUGCUAUUUUCUCUUAGAAUUGAAGUAAAUGUAACUUUUUAGUAAAUAAACAUUGAGAGGUAUCAAGCAAAUAUUUUUUUCAUACAUUGCCUGGGUAUUUUAUCUAAAACCACCUCAGGCAUAGUCCAGAUUAGAGUUGGCUGACAAGAAUGAUGAUUUGGUUGAGUCGACAAACAAUCUAUCCAUCUCCACCUUCUUAAACAAAAUAAUGGUCUCCUGUGGCUGGCUGAACAUCAUGAAAGUGUUAAUUCCUCGAGAAGGAAUCGUGUGGCACACCCAGACCAUACAUUUCCAAACUAGCGAUGCUGUGGUAAAGGCUUAAUGAAGUACCCCUCAAACUCUUCUGGCCCUGGGACCUGCUCAACUUUUUGAAGUUGUUCUGGUACUGCCGGGAAUUACAGAUUCUAAGAUGGCGGCCCCGGAAAUGUAUAUUUUCUGCCUUUUCAUGGGCGGGUGUGUGAAAUCAUGUUUAUGCCUAGGGGAUCUGGUGACUGUGCGAGAGUUAAUAAUGAUGAUCAGUAACGCACCACUUCAGGAAGAAAGUGAAGAGAAAAAAAAACCGUCAACUUUUGUCAACCUUCAAGUUAUAGGGAAAAGUAGUCCCUAAUAAUAAAAUAUGCAUAAUUAAAAAAUAAAUAUAUAAUAAAUCUGCUUUAAAGAAACACUAUAGUGUUAGGAAUACAAAGUUGUAUUCCUAACACUAUAGUGCCCCUCCCUUAUUCCACUCUCCCCCCAGCGAAUAAAGUGUUAAAUAACCUUUUUAAAACACGUAUUCCAGUGACAAUGCCCCGUGGUGUUGGGUCAGGCUCCUCCCACGUCAGCCGAUGGGGGAACAAUGCUUUUUUACUAUGGGUUUUUUCAACACGAUAGACAUGCACUCCAUGAAACUACACAGUGAAACUCCGUUAAACUGCAGGAAGUGCCUCUAGUGGCUCUCUGAUUGACAGCCACUAAAGGCGGUCUUAACACUGCAAUCUAAACAUUGCAGUUUCUCUAAAAUUCCAAUGUUUUACAUUGCAAGAUUAAGGAGGGCAGGGACACUUCAAUGAGAUGAUGUGGUCUGGGUGCCUACAGUAUCCCGUUAAGGUAACUGCACACACAAAAAUGUACAAUUUUUGAAAUUUAAUAGGCUACAUAAAAUCAUUUGUCUUAAACAAAACGUCUGCAGCUUUUAGUCACACCAUAUGGCCAUUCCGUGUCAAAGCUGCCUCAGCAGAUGAAGAACAUCAGGGGAAGGGAUUAACACUGAUUAUUUCUUUAUCAAAUCACUAAUAGUGGAAAAUGUACAAAGGAAUCAUACAUUUCAGAUCAAACCAGCUGGACAUAAGCAUUGGAGGACAAGUGUUCGCGUGCAUCCAAUGUUACUCAUGAGAAAGCAUUAAAUCCAGUGAUUUCCUGUGAGCUUCCAUGUCAUGUCACCGAGUUCUACGCAGUCGGUGCAGUGGGAGCGCCUCUAGUGGCUAGAGUGGUGUUCAACUCUGCAAUGUAAACAUUGCAGUUUCAAAAUAAAACAAAAAACUGUAAUGUUUUACUUUGCAGGGGUAAAAUGGCAGGACAACUGCAGCCAGACCACUUAAUUUAAAUGAGGUGGUCUGGAUUUCUUUAGCGGCCCUUUUUAAAUAAUUUUAAUUCUUAAAUGAACACUCCAAGCACCAUGUAAGUGCCCUGGCAUCCUUCCCCCAUUGUAAGUAGUCAAAAUGUUUGCAAACACUUUGAAAACUUCCUAGGGGUCAGCCGGGCACUGAUCACGUCCUCCAGGAUAGUCAGAAGCUCACUAAGUUGAGCUAAGCUUGGGGGUCAGCUCACUUAGCUCACUGAUUGAGCGUGAUCAGCUGAUGCUCUCAACCAAUAAGUUGGGGUUUAGCUUAGAAGAGGUAACGGAAGCUCCUAGCAGGAGCCUCUAACUCAUCAUGGUGGAAGUGACGUGCACACUGUGCACCCCAGGUAAGAAGUCAAAUCAUAGAAAAAUGGUUUAAUUACUUAGUUUGGCAGGUGCCAGGGCACUCCUGGCACCUUAUGACUGCAGUGCACAGUAGUGGUUGAAGUGCUUGGAGUGUUCCUUUAACACAUUUUUGCAAGUGCCUCACUUAUAGACGUAUUAUUAUUUACCUAGUCUCUUACUGAUAUUUAAACGGUAACUAACAAAGAGUCAUAGAGGGCUAUUCACAAAAGAGAGAAUUAAAAGUGAAGUCCAAAUUUAAGACCAGAAUAGCUGACCUCAACGCAUUUCACCUUGAAUUCUCACUUGAGUGAAUAACUCUGAUAAUGUGACCUCUCUUUUCCCUAGAAACAUUGUUAAUUACAACAAAUCCAUAUGACUUCCCAUAUAUGAGCCAGGGGGAGAUCUCAGUGGCCAGCAUUGACGACACAGAGGAAUUAAUGGCCACAGAUGUAAGUUCUCUAGUUACAAUGUUAUAGUUUGUUACAAAUACACCACUAUGGUUUAUCUCAUACUCUUCUGUCUUUUUGUUAAAUGUAGAGUGCCAUAGAUAUUCUGGGCUUCACCUCAGAAGAAAAAAUUGGUAUUUACAAGUUAACAGGUUCGGUAAUGCACUACGGCGUAAUGAAGUUCAAACAGAAGCCCCGUGAGGAGCAGGCAGAACCUGAUGGUACUGAAGGUAAGAACAGAAGGGAAUAUUUUGUCGUCUUAAUGGGGUUAACAAGGACUGACAGCCAUAACUUAUAUAUAACAAAGGCAUUUAGUGGUAAGCUUGGGUUAGAAUGAUCAUACACUUAAGACAAAUGUUAUUCAGGUUAGCACACUUAGAUUAUCUUGUUUUACAGUGGCAGAUAAAACCGCCUAUCUGAUGGGACUCAACUCAGCAGAAUUGCUAAAAGCGCUCUGCUACCCUCGAGUCAAAGUCGGAAAUGAAUACGUCACCAAAAGUCAGACCGUUGAGCAGGUGAGCAGCCUUGCAAAAAUCUUUUUUAUUGAUGAUGUCACCAGGUUUAUACAAAAUAUUAAACGUUGAGCUACUCUCUUAUAGGUGCACCAAAAUGUAAAUGCCCUGGCCAAGUCCGUGUAUGAGAAAUUAUUCUUGUGGAUGGUAACCCGGAUUAACCAACAGCUGGAUACCAAACUUCCCAGACAGCAUUUCAUCGGGGUGCUGGAUAUUGCUGGGUUUGAAAUCUUUGAGGUUAGCAUUGCUGAAUAUUGCCUGAAUUGUGUUUUUAGUUAUUUUCUUUUGCUAAUGCCUCCCCGAACAUCUCCCACCUUCCGAAGACAGUUGAAGCAUCAUAUGAGCAGCAGAUUCCUCUUCAUCCUUUUCUUCUCCGUAUUUAUUCUGGCUUUGGCCCCAGAAUACAAAGUUUAUUUGGUUGUUUUUGUUUUGAUGCCACUAACAUGAGAUGUUUUUUUUCCCCCCCUUAAUUUUUCUCAAAAUUCUGGAAUAACAAAAAUACAUAAAACACAUCCACAUGUUUUUGGAACAAUAGUAAGGGCCAUCAUCCAUAACAAGCAUACUGAAUAAAUCUUCUACUUCUAGUCUGAAACUUGAUCCUCAAUGGCUGUCAACCCAGUUACUAUUUUAUCACUAAACCAUAGGCAAUUUAAAAUAGCUAAUUAUUUGGUUGAACAUUAUCAUUUAUGUUUGUAAUUGAUGUUUAUAACUACAUCUGUAUGUUUUGACACAUUUUUGCGGUCUGUAUUGUGUGUUCAGUCAGUAACCUAAAAGAAUAAUUGAACACGUUUUUAUCUUGUUAUAGAAGUGGCCUCUAAGAUGUUGCAAUAUUCAAUAAAUAUUCUCCUUUUAUUAAAAAAAAUAAAUGCAGAUUUACACCCUGAUGUGCUGUGUACAACUUUCCAAUGAGCAAUGUUUGUUAUCCUGUUAUCCCGAUGUAUAUGUUAUUCUGUUAUCCUGGUAUCUAGAAUACUAGAUUCCAAUCUAUGAUACCCUAGAGUGGCCAUUGAUGUUCCUGCUGCAAUACUUUUAUUUCAUCAUAUUAUCAGACAGACAGACGUUGGCAGUGCCUGCCCUGGAGUGUACAGCGAUAGUAUUUCCGUAUGUGUUUGCCAAAUAAACACUGUGAUUGUUUUGCUGUGUUCAGUUGAACAGUUUGGAGCAGCUGUGCAUCAACUUCACCAACGAGAAACUGCAACAGUUCUUCAAUCACCACAUGUUCGUCUUGGAACAAGAGGAAUACAAGAAGGAGGGGAUUGAGUGGGACUUCAUUGACUUUGGCAUGGACUUGGCGGCCUGCAUUGAGCUUAUUGAGAAGGUACGUUCUACAAAUAUUAUUACCCCUUUGUACCACUGCUAUGGUCCAAUUCUCUUUGAUGUAAAGUAAUUUUAUUCUACAUUCUACUAUGUUUGCAUUAGGUUGUAAUAAUGUACAUAGGUUGUAAACGUUUUCAUUUUCUCCAAUAUCUAGUGGAUGUUUGUAUAAUUGGCCAUUAGUUGAAAGAUCACAUAUAAAAAUAUAUUUUAUCUUCAGUAUUUAGAGAGACAGCAGGGGCAUGAUCUAUCCAUCAAAACGGCUUCAUUAAGCUAAAGUUGUUUGGGUGACUAUAGUGCCCCUUUAAGUCUAUACAGAACUUGAAUGACCUUUGUAUUAAAAACAUGAACCUGUUAUGGUGUUUCCUGUUAUUUUUAGCCAAUGGGUAUUUUCUCCAUCCUUGAAGAGGAGUGCAUGUUUCCCAAGGCAACAGACUCUUCGUUCAAGAACAAGCUGUAUGACCAGCAUCUCGGCAAGUCCAACAACUUCCAGAAACCAAAACCAGCCAAAGGCAAAGCUGAGGCUCACUUCUCUCUCGUCCAUUAUGCCGGGACGGUGGAUUACAAUAUUAAAGGUUGGCUGGAGAAGAACAAGGACCCACUGAAUGAAACUGUGGUGGGACUCUAUCAAAAGUCAUCCAUGAAACUUUUGGCAAACCUUUACGUUGCGUACUCUGGUACAGAUGCAGGUAGGUAAUGGCUGGCUGACUUGUUGACUCUUAAUUUAAGUUGAUCACAAUUAAGAAGUAUAGAUUCUUGAUCCACAUACUAUCUUGUGAGGUUACCCUUGGACCUUGGCUUAAGUAAAGUACAUGAACAAAAUAUCUUGUAGUUUCACCAUUUGAUCCCUGCAUAACCUGAGAUUCAGUACACAUUUUAUAUAUUAAUUUGUUGUAUUCUCUAUUUCAUCCCUGAUUUUCUGUCCCUUAUCCAAUAAAUGUUUGUGCUUAUUUGGAUUUGCUUGGAUUGGGGAGUUUAUGUGCAACACAGACAUAGAACAGAUCGCAGAAUGGGAUCACUGGACACUCUUUUCAUGUGUUUUAGGAGAAGGAGGCACCAAGAAGGCUGCUAAGAAGAAAGGUUCUUCCUUUCAGACGGUGUCCGCUCUUUUCAGGGUAAGUGACUUAUGUGGGUGUUUUUGGUAUUUACAUGUUCCUGCACAUGUUUCAUGUUACCUGCCUACAGUGAUGAUUUUUUCAGAUUUUUACCAUAAAAAAUUCAGAAUCUCAACUCCCACUGAUCCUUAGUAUCACGCAUAAAAAUAAUAUUAUGCAAUGAAUUAUUCAAAUUUAAUUAUUAAAUACAGUGGGUUUGUGGGUAAUUAACACAGCGUGCAUAGCUUCAAUUGCAGCUGGGGAUUCUGGGUAAUAACCUGCCUUACCCCAUAAUCACACAGCAUGCAGGGGUUCCACUGUAGCCAGAGAUUCUUGGUCUUACCUUCUGCCCUUAUGAUCAUUUAAUACAUAUAUAAUAUUGUCUCUGAAGCAUUCUAUGUUUCUAUGUAUAAUAAUUACCUGUUGAAUGCUUACCCUGCAGGAAAACCUGAACAAGCUCAUGUCCAACCUGAGGACCACUCAUCCCCAUUUUGUGAGGUGCCUAAUUCCUAAUGAAACAAAAACACCAGGUAAUUGGUCAGACAGGUGGGCAAGAUAGUCCCUUUUAAAUGGAAAAUGAAAAGUAUUAAAGAGGUUGGCUUUUCCAGUAGUCUCGCUGUAUGGGAAUUAUUCUCUGUUGAGUUAGAUCAUAUGCAUACACGUAUGUAAUGAUGUUAAAGGCUUGGGGGGAGGAGGGAGGCAACAAUUUUAAAAAAAAAUUUAUUUCAAGGGACACUAUAGGCACCAGAAAAACUUUAGCUUUUGUUGUACAAAUCAUGUCCCUGCAGUCUCACUGCUCAGUUCUCUGUCAUUUAGGAGUUACAUCACUUUGUGUAUACAGCUUUAGUCACACCUCUCUGCAUGUGACUUGCACAGCCAUCCUAAACACUUCCUGUAAAUUGAGAUCUAAAGUUUAAACUUCCUUUUUUGAAAAUUCUGUUUAGUUUAGAAUUUCUUAUAUCCUGUUCUGUUAGUAGCUUCUAGACCAUAGGCCUUCUCUCUUAUUAAAAUUCAAUUUACAGUGCAGGAGGUAAAAACUUAUAAAGUAAGUUAAGAUAUGAUAGAAAAAAAAAUAAUGCAGGUUGUGGAAGUCACAGCCAGGGAAGGUGUGGCUAGGGCUGCAUAAAGAGAAACAAUAGUGCUUUAACUCCUAAAUGACAGAGAACUGAGCGGUGAAACUGCAGGCACAUGAUCUAUACACUCAGACUGCUUCAUUAAGCUAAAGUUGUUUUGCUGCCUAUAGUGUCCCUUUAAAGUUAAUACAUUCUUGUACUUUUUCUCAUAGAAAAUUGAGAUUAAUUUACAUGUCAUAUCUUUGUCCUGCAGGGGAAAUGGAUCAUCACCUUGUCUUGCACCAGUUGAGAUGUAACGGGGUACUCGAGGGCAUUAGAAUAUGCCGCAAGGGUUUUCCCAGCAGAAUUGCAUAUGCAGACUUUAAACAACGGUAAAUCCUUAUUUUGAGAAACCUAUUCUAAUAUAAAACUGUUAAAGAAUGGAUAAAUGGUAGUUAGGAAAUAAGGUGAGAUGGGAGAGAGAAUGUCCUGAGCUUUAUUUAAAUCAAACCAUACAGGACCUUAUUGGUUUGAAUUAUGUUUCAGUUUGGAGUAAGCCAUAGAAUAAAUUUACCAUGUUUGAUGAGAUAUGACUACAGCCAGCUUAUUUUAUAGGGGGCAAAUAGGCCCUGCCUUUGUGGAGGCAUAAGUUAAGUAUUAAAAUGCUUCCUUCUGAGAUGGGAGAAGUGAGCAAACUCUGGUUUGGAACUCAAGUAGGGAGUAACUAAAGGACAAGAUGUCACAGUUUUUCUUCAUUCUCACACUUGUUCUGGGGGAACAAAAACAACCUUCUUCUUUGUAUUUUCUCUUUUAAUAGAUAUCGAAUUCUGAAUGCAAGUGCUAUUCCAGAGGGACACUUUAUUGACAGCAAAAAAGCCUCAGAGAAACUCUUGGGUUCAAUUGAUAUUGAUCACACUCAGUAUAAAUUUGGGCACACAAAGGUAAAGCAUGACAUUAAUCUAAAUAUAGAACAGAGAUGUGAGACUACUAAAAAUUACAUCUGGUGAUGGGUGGGGAAUCCUGGAUCUAUUUUUUUAUUUUGGCUUAGGGUUGCGUGAGGCGCAACACUUAAAGUUAUGGAGUUUGUGUAGCAAUGGCAGAUUCCCGUGUCAUAUAUUUCAUGCUUCUCCCUGGCUUCAAAACAUAUUUUUAUUACAUUAAAUGUUCUUAUUAAUCCUGAAUGGUAAAAUCUAUUUGUUAGAGAGAGAGUGGUUAAGGAAGCCAGGUGCAGUAUCUGGUAAUUAGAGAUUCCAUUCACAACAAGGUCAGCUCUGUCCUUUACCCUUCCGAGGUUAAUGAAUCGAGGUCCACUGAGCUGGGUAAUAAUUCCUAAACCCCAGGAUGUAUUUGAAAACUGUAAAGAACUAAGUGUACCUUCCCUGUUUAAAUACUUUGAUAGCAUUGUAUGUCUUCUCAUAAUUGGCAUCCUGUGUUCUAAAUAUUUUAGGUGUUCUUCAAAGCUGGGUUGCUGGGAACUUUGGAAGAAAUGCGUGAUGAUCGCCUAGCCCAUCUGAUUACUCGCACGCAGGCCUUAAGUAGAGGAUACCUGAUGAGGGUGGAAUUCAAAAAGAUGAUGGACAGAAGGUAAACUUAUUCAGCAAUAAUUCAUUAUUUCAUAUGUUUACUUAGUCAGUCUUAGAGGACAGUUAAUAUCUUUCUUUUAAUGUUGAUUUUAGGGAAGCGAUAUUCAGUAUUCAGUAUAAUAUCCGAGCUUUCAUGAAUGUUAAACACUGGCCUUGGAUGAAAUUGUACUUCAAGAUUAAGCCCCUACUCCGGAGCGCAGAAACUGAGAAAGAGAUGGCGGUAAUGAAAGAGGAGUUUGCCAAAACUAAGGAGAAUUUGGCAAAGUCUGAGGCACAAAGGAAAGAGCUGGAGGAGAAGAUGGUAAAACUACUUCAAGAGAAGAAUGACCUACAACUGCAUGUUCAGUCUGUAAGUAUCAUUUGGUUCAUGGACCUUUUUCUGGGUCACAGGGCUGUGCUUCCUCUGAUGUCAAAGUGCAAUACUUACUGCCAUAGGCUAAAAUUUUACUUGUCUAACUUGGAAGAUUGUGUUCACAUCUGUAAUGUGUAUAUAUAUAUAUAUAUAUAUUUAUAUAUAUAUAUAUAUAUAUAUAUAUAUAUAUAAACUAAGCUCUAGCCCAGCAAUUUGACUGAACAAACCAGUAAUAAAAAUUAUUAAAUACAUAAAAGAACUAGAAAAGACAUAAAUGCAUGUAUAAUCUGUAGCUUUAAGACUGUAAUGCAAUAUCAAUUCUUGAUGGUGGAACUUGAGACUCCCCCGGGGUGGUCAGGGGGUUCUGUAUGCUGAGUCAAGUCAGCUCUCUCGUCGGAACUCCUCGGAUUUUCAGAUUGUACCUCCGCGUCUGAUCUUCCAAUGUGUCAAACCUCUCGGUGGUGUUGAUGUGUUGUUGCUGGAGAUUUGCGAACGUCUACUCAACUGAGGUGAGUCUUGAGUCUUAUGUGCUGUUAGAAGCCUCUAGGAGGGGGAUCUGUGUGGUGGUUUCUUUAAUGGCGUCCUUAAAGUAGGCCAUGUCAGUUGCGAUGUUCUGUCUGAGUUCUGACAGCUUGCGUUUCAGCAAGUCCGCUGUGACCAGUUCCCUGGAUGUCUGUGAUUUGACUUUAUGUCUGGGUAGUAGACCAAGAGAUGCCCCUUUACCAGAGUCAAUGGAGGUAUCCUCCUAGGAGUAAGAGGAACCCUCGUCCCCCAGUGCCAUCUUUGUCCAUGCGGCUCAUUGUGAGCUCCACAAGAGAUCACCAAUAUCCCGGCUGGUAGGGCCCUUGUAAGCUUUCAGUUUGUUUUUCCAGCCCAUUAUACUUUCACAUAGCAGUAUCACGUUUUAUAGCUGUGUGAUAACCCAAUUUCCACUCUAAAAUCCAUUUGUUUGUCAAGCAGGGCACAGAGCUCAGUUGAGUAUGUCUACUCUAGUUUGCUGCAGGCUCUGCCCCCCCCCCCCCAUCUGUAAUAUUUUAACUUUAUCAUAUUUUAUUUUGAUGGCUCUACUGCCCUUUCAGCUAACUCCCAACUUGUUUGUUGUGUUUAUUAAGGCUCAGUCAUGCACCUAUAUUUCAUAUGCUUAUCCAUGAAACACAGAAAUGUCUAUCUUUUCUCCGAAGGAAUUAGAAAACUUAAAUGAUGCAGAGGAAAGAUGUGAUCAGUUAAUUAAAACCAAGAUUCAGUUGGAAGCCAAAAUCAAAGAGCUCAAUGAGAGACUGGAAGAUGAGGAAGAGUCGAAUGCUGAACUGACAGCCAAGAAACGAAAACUGGAGGAUGAGUGUUCUGAAUUGAAGAAAGAUAUUGAUGACCUUGAGUUGACGUUGGCCAAGGUUGAGAAGGAAAGACACGCCAUAGAAAACAAAGUAUGUUCUAUAGUUUAAAAUUUGAUUGAAUAUUGAAGCUGACUUUUCAUAGACCAAAUAUGUUUGGGUUUUACCAAUAAGAAGAGAAUAUAUAUAUAUUUUGGUUACCAAUAAAGUUUGGCUUCAUUAGUUUUAUGUAGUCAUUAUUUAGAAAAAGGCUAAUUACUAUUUCCUUAUAUUUUUAACAUCUAAUUUUACAAGGUUAAAAACCUCACUGAGGAAAUGGCUGGUCUAGAUGAAACCAUUGUGAAGCUGACCAAAGAAAAGAAGGCUCUCCAAGAAGCUCAUCAGCAAACCUUGGAUGAUCUCCAGGCUGAGGAAGACAAAGUCAACUCACUGACCAAACUUAAAACCAAACUAGAACAGCAAAUUGACGAUGUGAGUACCAGUACCAACCUGACAUAUGCCUUAUUUAAUAUUGUUGGAUAAGCUUUUCAAAUGAUUACAUAUUGUUGGAUAAACUGUUAAAAUGAUUUAAUAUUAUGAAAAAAUGCAUGGAUUUUUAAAAUAUAUAUUUUUCAUAUAUAAUAUAUAUAUAUUUUUUAUAUUUUAAUAAUUUGAGAAAUUAAUUUUAAAAGUUUAUCCAAUAUAAUAUUCGAUCAUUUGAACAUUUUACCCAACAAUAUUAAAUUGAGCCUAUAAUAUGGAAAACCUUUCCCUGAAUAUAUAUAGGGAUAUAUCAACUUCCUUCAAAGGUUGUCUCAGAGCUUAUUAUAUUACCUCAAAAUGUAUGUCCGUAACCAAGCACAUAUCCUACUCAGAAUAGCAGAAAUGUGAAUAAUUACAGCUUUAUUUUCUUUAAAUGGGCACCAUACCUUUAUUAUUAUUUGCAUUGAAAUGGCAUGGAAACUUUGACAAACAUGGUCUCCAAUCUCUAAUGUAGCUUCAAGGCUCUCUAGAGCAAGAGAAAAAGCUUCGCAUGGAGAAUGAACGGGCCAAGAGGAAGCUGGAAGGAGACUUGAAAAUGGCACACGACUCUAUAAUGGAUUUGGAGAAUGACAGACAGCAGAUGGACGAAAAGCUAAAAAAGUACGGGGUUUCUUGUGGUCAUUAGACUAAUCUCAAAGCAUGAAGUGCAGCGAUACAUUAACUUGAUGAUUGGACUUAUACUAGAAUGCAGAGAUUAUGAUUAUGACGUAUAGUUCAACAAUUAUAGAAAUGAUACAUAGUUCCUAUAGCAGGGUAACAUAAACCUAUUUUUUCUCCUUUUGCUUUGUCCUCAUUUAUUUUACUCUAGUGAAUUACAUAAAUGACAUUGACAUUUUUUUUUUUUUAAAUUUCACCGAGUUUAAUACCGAGAAAUUGCAAAUUAAUCGAAUUAUCGAUUAAAACAGAUACAUUGCACAUGCAAUCCAUUAAAGCAGAAAACACAGAAGUAUACAUAUCAAAUGAAAACCUCAUUUUCAACUACUAGAUUGAAGAUUAAAGUAUUAAAUUAAGGAUUAUUCCUAUCCUUUUAGUAGGACAUCACUGAGUGGUCCGUUUAAAUAUGCUAGCUCUGUAUUUUUUUUUUUAAAUUUAUAUCUCAUUAAUAGUAAUAAUUGGCCAUUCGUUAUCCGGUUGUAUUUACCUGUUCUACUUUUUGCUGACAGGAAGGAUUUCGAGAUAAGCCAGCUGUUGAGUAGAAUCGAGGACGAACAGGUUCUGUCGAAUCAAUUUCAGAAGAAAAUUAAAGAACUCCAGGUAAAAAAACAAGUAUUCAUUUUUACAGGUAUGCCACUAUAUAAGUGUUUAUUUUUAAAAGUUCGAGGUAACGGUAAACAUUUUUUUAAAACUUUAGUUUCUUUACUUAUGAAAGUUAAAAUUCAGUGGGAACUCCAUACAGAUCCGUACAUAAGUAUUUAGGGCAUUUCACAUGGCACUCAGUAGAGCAGUAUUGUCAACCUCUGAUCCUACAGAUAUUGUUGAAAUGCAACUCUCAGAAUUCUCUGACAAUAAUAAACAUUCACCCAUUGUUUGUGUGCCAGGCUCGCGUGGAAGAACUUGAAGAAGAGAUUGAGUCUGAGAAGGCAACACGAGCCAAGGCGGAGAAGCAAAGGUCUGACCUGACCAGGGAACUGGAGGAGAUUAGCGAGAGGCUGGAGGAAGCUGGAGGUGCCACAUCUACUCAGAUAGAGAUGAAUAAGAAAAGAGAAACUGAAUUUCAAAAGAUGCGCAGAGAUCUGGAGGAGGUCUCCUUGCAACAUGAAGCCACUGUCGCCACUCUCCGUAAGAAGCACUCAGACAGUGCUGCGGAGUAUGGUGAGCAAAUCGACAACCUGCAACGCGUGAAGCAGAAACUGGAGAAGGAGAAGAGUGAGAUGAGGAUGGAGAUUGAUGAUCUCAACAGCAACCUUGAAACUAUAACAAAAUCCAAGGUUUGUGGAUUAUAUGGUAGUUUAAACAAACCCGUUUUCCCCACACUGACACUUAGAACUUUCUCACCUCAACAUCUAAUGUAUCAUUUUCCAUUUAAUAUAUAGAAUUAAUGGUAUAUAGAUGGUGUGCACUAAAAAAGGUUUUGCCUUUUUUUCAGAUUAGCAGUAGUAACAGAGUGAUGGAAAAAGAAUCUAGUAGAUGCAAGUCUGUUUUCAACCCAACUUUACAUUUAAUGCUAUAGAGAACUGUAAUAUGCCUUUAAAAUGAUUGCACAUCUAAGAUUCUUUGCAGUUUCUCCUUACAACAUUUUAUAGAAAGCAUUUUGUUAUUGUUAACUUGCUUGUGUUCCUCGGGCUUCUGUACAAUAGAGAGGCUAAUGGAACACAUUAAAUACAAUACCCACUACAGCAAUCUGUAGUGGUUAUGGUGCAAAUAGUCCCACUUUUUCGUCAAAACCAUUUUGGAUUUGAUUGACAAAAAAAAACAGACCUUUCCCAUUCACCAGGUGGAUUAAUAAUGCAGGAUUUACACUUCCACAUUAAUGUCAGUUCCAUCCACUCUUGAUGGAUGUGAUAGGUUGACGGUGCAGGGCUAGAUUACCCCUAAUGCCUUCAGUAAAUCAACCCCCUUCAGGUUGGAUGGAAUUGAUACUGGUAACAUAGAAUUUGAUUUUACCAAUAUUAAUGCAGAUGGUGGGUGAGCUAUGGGUGUUAAGACACACCAUGUUUUUUGUCAAACUUCACCCAAAUAGUUUGCUCAAAAAAUAUGACAUAAUGCUCAUAAAUUCUUAGCUCAAUGGACAUUAGAGUGAGUUGUAGUGGUCAUGGUGCUUGGUGUAUCCUUUAAGUAAUCUGUGAAACACUCUAACAUUUCAUUCUUAAAAGGACACUAUAGUCACCAGAACAACUACAGCUUAUCGCAUUUGUUCUGGUGAGUAGAAUCAUUACCUUCAUUACUUUUUGCUGUAAACACUGUCUUUUCAGAGAAAAUGCAGUGUUUACAUUACAGCCUAGUGAUAACUCCACUGGCCACACCUAAGAUGACUGCUAAAGCUGCUUACUUGGGCAGUGCUGCAGAGUAAACAGCACUGCCAUUCAGUGUCUCCACCCUCUGCAUGCAGACACUGAACUCUCCUCAUAGAGAUGCAUUGAUUCAAUGUAUCUCUAUGAGAAGAUUCUGAUUGGCCAGGGUUGUGUUUGACUUGUCGAUCCUAUGUGAAAGCAUUGGGAUUGGCUCAGACCACCACUUCUUAUGAUGUCAGCAGACAGAGGCAGUUCACAGGCAGAGGCAGCAGCGUCAGACUUGAAUACAAGUAAGAUAUUACUAUAUUUAGGGGGGCAAGAACGGAUAGGGGUUAGAUGGUGGUUUUAACACUAUAGGGUCAGGAAUAUAUGUUUGUGCUAAGUUAGAUAGUCUAGUAUACAAUCAUUUGAUUUAUUAUAGAGCAUAAAAGGUAUUAAACAUAUCAGUUAAUUACUUAAGUACUUAAGAAAAGCAUAAUUAAAAAAAGUGUGUGGUUGGGGCAGGGUGUGUUUGUGAAUAGCAUGGUAUAGAACAAUAUAAUUUUAACCAAACCAAAAAGGGACAAAAUGGAAGAUAAAUGAUUUAAGAAAAAUGACAAGAUAUAUUUUUACAAAUGACUACUUUGUUUAUAAUUCACCCCCGUGUGUCUCUACAACCAGGUUAAUUUUGAGAAGCUCUGUCGUAUGAUGGAGGAUCAGCUGAGCGAAUUCAAGGCCAAGACAGAGCAAAACCAGCGUACUGUCGCUGAACUGACAUUAAGUAAAGCUCGUCUGCAGACAGAAACAGGUGAUUAAAGAAUUCAGUGUACGGGUUUACACCUGCUCACAUAUGCACAAACCCAUGUGUACACUAUCUGUGCUACUUGCUUGGCAGUGUAAUUACAGGAAACAGAGCAGGUAAUCUAUUCUAGGUCCUUGCUCCAUACAUAUUUCUAUACAUUGUACAGUUUUUCCACUUCCAAAUAUCUCAAGAAAGUUUUACAACGUAAUUCAAUAUCCAUUAUGGAAUUCCUGAUUCCAGAAAAUGUACUCAUGAGUUUUGUUGCUAUCAUCCAUACCUUCAAUGCUUACAUAUGCAUUCUGGCCAGCUCUUUUUGUUCAGCCAAUUUUGUUAAAACAGGAGCACUUCAGGUAAUAGCCGUAUAUACUGUAUAAAUGUUGGCCGAAUAUAUAAAUAUUUCCAGAGGUUACCAUGUUACAUUUACUGUCUAAAUACAGGUGAACUUGGACGACAGCUUGAAGAGCGAGAAUCUUUGGUCUCACAGUUGUCUAGGUCAAAACAAGCUUUUACCCAGCAAAUUGAGGAACUGAAGAGACUUAUGGAAGAAGAGGUGAAGGUAUGGAUCGAAUGAGAGUUCUACACCAUGUCACUAUGCCCAGAUUGUUCAUAUUCUGUUAACAAUCUAACACAAAAUUUGUGUGAUUCUCUGAUUGCCAGGCUAAGAAUGCUCUGGCCCAUAGCUUGCAGUCUUCACGCCAUGACUGUGACCUUCUCAGGGAGCAAUAUGAGGAGGAACAGGAAGCCAAGGGUGAGCUGCAAAGAGCUCUGUCCAAAGCCAAUGGAGAAGUCUCCCAGUGGAGGACAAAAUACGAAACUGAUGCCAUUCAGCGCACAGAAGAACUGGAAGAUGCAAAGUAAUUCAGUGACAUAAUAACACAUUGACUGCAUUGAUUAUCUGUGUGUCCUUUUAAUAUUGAAUAACUGGCACAUUUAGGGAUCCCAAAACAUGGUUCUGUUCAAAUGCCCCAAGAGGUAAUAUUUUACAGACAGGUCCAGAAUUAUGUGUUAGAUCAAAUUAAAACUUUCCUUUUAUUAAGGAAUUGUUAAAAAAAAAAAAAAAAAAUCAUGUCACAACUUUACAAGUAUAAAUGACGGGCAUUGCCUCAGUUUGAAGGCAAAGGCUACAAGGAAGGAAGUCUGCAGCAGGAUGUGCAUUUUUAAAAAGCUCCAUUCAAAUGUGUCAGAGAUAUUUAGAUACAUAUGUUUUAUUAUUAUUUUAUAUGUCUAUAUAUAAUAUAGUGAUCAGCCACAACAUUAAAACCAGCAGCCCAAUAUUGUGUGUGUGUGUGUGUGUGCGUGUGUGUAUAGUAUAGUAUAUACGGUAUGUUCCUCAUCACAAAUACAUUGUGCUUAGGUCCACAGUAAAAUGUAGUAACCAUGACCUCUAGUGGUAAGAAGUGAAUAUUACUCGUUAGUUUAGUUUAGAGAGUAACCGGAAAGCACUCACACAAAUUGAAUCCUCCCAUGUUUCAAAUUCCCUCUAAGAAUCUGUAAGUAGUGGUGCAAAUUGGAUUCUGCAGCUGCCAUGGCAAUAUUUGUGAACUUAAAUCUCUGUAUUUAUUAUUCUGCAGACGUAAUUAGCAAAACAGAUUUAAUUUCCACCUCUGAGAAACUUUAUCAAGGCAUGGGACCUGUAAAUGGUCCCCUUAAACAUGUUGUUAAUCAGAGAAUCAUAUAAAAUAAGCAGACAGUAUUCUGGUAAUAUUAUCCUGAACAGUAUUUUAUGUUGGCUUAGUGGUUUUAUGGACGUCUAGAGUUGGGGAUGGCUUUGCAAUGCAUCAUGGUAAUAUCAUGGUAAUAUCCGCAUUUGCAUGAUUGGUUCAUGCUGCCAUACAGACAUUUCCUCCUGUCUCUGAUACGUGCCCCUUACUAAACUCACACAAAGUAACAUGUAUCUGUUGAUUUCAGGAAAAAGUUAGCUCAACGCCUUCAAGAAGCAGAGGAACAUAUUGAAGCUGUGAACUCCAAAUGUGCCUCCUUGGAGAAAACCAAAGUGAGGCUCCAAAGCGAAGUGGAGGACCUCAUGAUUGACGUGGAGCGGGCAAAUGCUGUUGCUGCUGCUCUCGACAAAAAGCAAAGGAAUUUCGAUAAGGUAAUUAUGUUUAGUUCAAUAAGAAAAUGUAGUAGGAUUUCAAAAAUAGCACGCCACAGCAGAUGAAGAUAGAAGAAAACUUUAAUUGGCACUUGCGAAAGGUAUACAAAUAUAGAAAAAAAUUAUCGCACAAACAGAACACUGGCUGCCUUACUCAUUGUUCUGUCAUUGGCAUUUUAACUUAAAUUUCUACCCUGUAUAAAAGGAACACAUAAAGACGUUUCCAAAUAAAAGGUCUGUGAAAGAAUAAGUACUUAUAGUAGCGGCGAAUUGACCCACCAUUUAUUAAGGCGUAAAAACUUUGGGAAAAAAAGAAUUAAAAAGAAUUUAAAUUACAUACUUAAAAAAAAAAAUACUUAAUUAAGAUCUUAGCGCUGGGCACUUCCACCCGAAAAUGCUGCUGCUGGGAGACCUAUUUAGCUUUUAUGUCCUGGACAGCUUUAUGGGAUAAGUACCUUAUCCUUAGUUGCAGUUUCAUUCAUCACAAGGAUAAGUGGUUAUUCUGAUGGCCGUCAUACGUCGCUGGUUUGUGUUUUACACAGCAUGGUUUACAGUUUUGUUAUUGCAAACUCCCAAGUCACUGACCACACAUGAGUGCGGGUGAGUUGUGCGCAUGUUGCAUGCACUAGUUGGAUGGAUCCAAUACUGGAAUUACUUAUUAUAAGCCACUCUGGGUUGGGAGACUAUGUGCAGGAUACUCUAUGUACCAUAAGCUUUGCUAUAAUGAAGUGUUUUUGUAUGAUUCUCAGUGCGACCAUUGAAUAUAGUUAUAUUAAAAUGGCUCUCAAAAAUUUCAAGAACACCAGAAAUGAUUUAUAGUAGAAUUUUCCUAAUCACCAUUUCGGCUUUCUUAGGCUUGAUACAAUUCUGCUCUAAAUUAAAUUAACGCUACCUAAGUUCAUAUUAUAUGAUAUAGGAGCCAAUGUGUCAAGAUGCAAAACUGUAGUUUGUAGUUUGAGCAGACCUACAGUUAAUGCUUUGAAUUACAACAUGUAAAAAGAUGAACUGUGAUUGGGGAGACAGAGUCAAGAAUGAAAAACAUGAAACAAUGUUAGCGAUCUGUAUCAGACUUCCCAUCUCUCUUGCUAUUAAAGAUUCUCGCCGAGUGGAAACAGAAGUAUGAGGAAACCCAGGCGGAACUCGAGUCUUCCUUAAAGGAGUCAAGAUCUUUGAGUACGGAGCUCUUCAAAAUGAAGAAUGCGUAUGAAGAAUCUUUGGAUCAGCUUGAAACAAUUAAACGUGAGAACAAGAAUCUACAAGGUGAGUAAAGAAGGGAUCUCAGGAACUAUUAGGAAUAUCAAUGGACCAACUACAUAGUCUGACAGUUUACCUAAGCUAUGUCCAUUAUCUCCAUAAUUAAAUGUCUAGGUUUAGGGACCUUUUUUGCAGGGUUCUUAAGAGAGCAUGCUAGCUACAUCAUAAUGUUUAAUGUUUUGUAGCGGAAAUAACUGAUCUGUCUGAACAAAUCGCAUCCAGUGGUAAAAUCAUUUACGAGCUUGAAAAAGCCAAGAAACAGGUGGAAUUGGAGAAAAGUGAAAUGCAAGCUUCUCUUGAAGAAGCUGAGGUAAUGUUUUAACCCCAUAGCAGAUUACAUUAAUUAGUUAGAUACAUGUUUGCCCUUUCUUCGCUGAGGUCCAUGUACUUUUGUAAUUCUUGUAUUUAGUAUUAAAGUCACAUGGCAAUGUUUUUGACCCGUGGUCUUUGUUAAGCCUGCCUUAACAUGUUUACAUAAUGCUUUUAGUAUUGAUAGAAUUUUAUUAAUCCCUAGGAGACCAAGCCCUAGGUAUGUCAGGGAACAAAUUAGUUCCUGGUUUAAUUAUUUACUCCAGUAGAUAGAUACCGUAUUAUGUAUUAAUCUAACUGUAAAUUAAAUUGAAAAUGGCAAAAACUGAGAUUUCUUUUGACACUUUUUAAAAGGCGUCCCUGGAGCACGAGGAAGCCAAAAUCCUGAGAAUUCAGCUGGAGUUGACUCAAGUGAAAGCUGACAUUGAGCGGAAGGUGGCAGAGAAAGAUGAGGAGAUUGACCAACUGAAGAGGAACCACCAGAGGACAGUGGAAACCAUGCAGACAUCUUUGGAUGCAGAGAUAAGGAGCAGGAACGAAGCAGUCAGGCUUAAAAAGAAGAUGGAAGGUGAUCUGAAUGAAAUGGAGAUCCAGCUCAGUCACUCAAAUCGAUUGGCAGCUGAAGCUCAGAAAUGUCUACGAAAUGUCCAAGGUCUACUGAAGGUACACAUAAAAUGUUUACGUUUUCUCUGAAAUCUGGACUAGUUUCCCAAACCCUUGAGCACUGAAGUUAUGUGGAUACGGGUAUUCUGUUGGUCUGUCGGGAGCAGUAAGCAGCCAUAGUGGGCGUAGGACGUUUAAAAACAUUAUAUAUACUUUUUAUUCUACAUUUGUAUUUGUAAUGAUUACAUGAGCUAUAUUCCAUGGUAGAGGGCAAUAUAUUUUUUUAAUAUAUUUAUUUUCUUACCGUGUGAAGCCUCUGAACUAUCAUUAUAGGAACCUAAGAAAAUCUAGAGACAGCUUUUCAUAAAAUGUAUUCAGCCUUAAGGUAGCAAACGUUUAACCAUGCAUUUUCUUAUGAUACACUUUCAUUAGUGGAGACUAUAGGUAGAAUAAACAGUAAAACAUAUUAUUUUUAAAAGCCACACUAUUAUGACUAGGGAUGGGUUUUACUCCUCUCAUAUCUCCCACUAGAUGUUUGGGAGUUUGGUCCCCUCCAUCUCCCUUCCUUCCUACACCCAUGCUCUGAAUUCCUUUCUGAGUCUACCAAAGUCCCAUUACUCUCAACUAUUGUCUUCAUCCACAGGACACACAGAUCCACUUGGAUGAUGCUCUCCGCGGGCAGGAGGAUCUAAAGGAACAGCUUGCCUUGGUGGAGCGUAGAAACAGCCUGUUGAUUGCUGAGAUUGAAGAGAUGAGAGCUGCUCUUGAACAGACAGAAAGAUCUAGGAAGAUUGCAGAACAAGAACUUCUGGAUACAACAGAGCGUGUCCAGCUUCUGCACUCCCAGGUAAAAUAAAACCAAUGUUCUUCAAUUUUUAACCACAGGAGAACCAUGUACAUAUUACUUUUAGGUUUAAUCUCACGCAACUGAAUGGUUUGAAAGCAGAGUAUUAUCCGGACAAAAUUAUUUCUUAAUGCCUGCAACAUAAUAAUCUCCUACUUACUCAGGAGAUUGCCAUUUUACCAAUAUUAUGGUUUUAUUAUCUGAGGUUGUCGAAUAAAUUGGUCCAUUACCCCAUAUAUACGUAUGUUCCUUGUCCAGAGCUUGUUUUUUUUAGACUGGCCAUGUGAUGUUCUGAAAUAUAAAAUCAUUAAUAUAAUAUAUGUAAAAGAAGGUGUUGAGAUAGCUCAGUUAGUGAAUGUUAAUGUGGCAGAAUCUGGUCAAUUCUAAGGUUUGAACUUAGCCAUUCUACUUGAAGUGCUUUGAAAUCCAUUAAGGGGAAAAAAGGCAAAAUAAGUAUUAAUAAUUAUUUAGUAAAGAGUUCUCUCCCUUUUUGUAAUGAGAAGACAUAAUCUUUAAUAUGCUUUAGGAUUAGAAUAGAGGUCUUUUUUUCAUGUCAAUUAUAGAUUAUCUUAGAGAAAUAUUUAUGCUUUAAGAUAGAUAGAUAGAUCAGCCACAUUAAAACCACCAACUGGUGAGGUGAAAAACAUUGAUUAUAUUGUUGCAAUGGCACAUGUGAAGAGGCGGGGUAUAUUACGCAGCAAUUGAACUGUCAGUUCUUUAAUUUUAUAUAUAUUUUUAUACUUCAAAGAAAUACAAUUUCCCCAAUGAACUUAGUGAGGUCUUGGAUUGUGGUAUAUUUGGUACUAAUGUAGAACAUUUUAGUGGCUUAUAGCUUUGUUUAGAACAGUAGAACCUCCACUAUCGUCUGCAUGGAGGAGUCAUUUACAUAGCAUCUUCUCCUUUCAUUGUGCAGAACACAAGCCUGAUUAGUACGAAGAAGAAGCUGGAAACAGAUGUUUCACAACUUCAGGGAGAAAUUGAAGAUGUCACCAAGGAAGCAAGAGAUGCCGACGAAAAAGCAAAGAAAGCCAUAACUGAUGUGAGAGCCUGUCUGUUUUCGUGUGUUUUGUAUUUUCUUUUAAAUUAAUGUAUUUUAUUUAAUAUUAUUUGCACAGAGCAAAACAUUUUGCUCAGUUAAAUUCAUUAUAAGGUAGACAUAUUGCUUUGUAAUCGCCAGGCUGCCAUGAUGGCAGAGGAAUUAAAGAAGGAACAGGACACUAGCGCUCACCUGGAGAGGAUGAAGAAGAACUUAGACCAGACAGUGAAGGACCUACAGAAUCGUCUGGAAGAAGCUGAGCAACUGGCACUGAAAGGUGGAAAGAAGCAUAUCCAGAAAUUGGAGACCAGGGUGAGUCUCUUAAAGAUGACUCUACUAUUAUUUAGUCCCACUCGUUCUUUGUGUGUAGCAUGUAAAUGGAUGAAACAAUACUCGUACGCUACAGUUACAAUUGGUGGCAGGUGACAAAAUGGGUUAUAGGCUUAGGAUUCUAGCUGUUGAACUAUACUUUUUAUUUUGCUUAGUAUUUCCUUUGGCCAAGUAAAGACCUAGAAAGUUGUAUCUCCAUGAUGUUGGUAAAAUUAGACAGGCAGUCCAAGGGCAAAUGUUUCACACGUCGUGAAGCAAAGUUUCAUCAUUCUUCUAGGUCCGAGAACUGGAGGGUGAAGUUGAUAUUGAGCAGAAGAGAUGUGCUGACUAUAUCAAAGGGGUCCGGAAAUAUGAAAGACGUGUUAAGGAGCUGUCGUUCCAGGUAAAUUUGGGAAGUAUGCAAAAUAAUGGGAUCAUCUAGACUUUUGAAGGGUGAGAAAGAUCUAAUUAAAAAAAACCUUUACAUUGCAGUCUGAAGAAGACCGAAAGAAUAUUGCACGAUUGCAAGACUUGGUUGAUAAAUUACAAAUCAAAGUGAAAUCUUACAAGAGGCAGUCAGAGGAAUCUGUGAGUAGCUUUACAUUCAUUAUUAAUAGUUUCACAUGUCAACUGGUUUGGAACUUGACGUUACAUUUAGCAUUGCAGGUCUUGUUUAAGUACUGGAAAAAUAUGUAGUUCUGGAGAUCUCAUUAGAUUAAUAAUUGUGUCAACAGAAGAUGAAAAGCUCCAGGGGAUUACUAUAUCAUAGUAUUUAAAAGUAACCAAACUAUUCCAUUAAAUAAGAUGAAAAAGCUGUAGAAAGUCUGGGUGUAUAUGGAAACCUCACCUAGAAUAUUGUACCCAGCUGUGGAGACUUUAUCUGGAGAAAGACCUAUAUACUCCAGAGAAAAUGUAAAAAAGGGCUAAUAGAAUGGUACAAAGUCUGAAUAUUUAUGUAUCAAGAGAGACUAAAGUUGCUAAAGAUGCAUGCACACCCUGUUAAUAAAGACUUAAAAUAUCUCAAGUGAUCUAAAGAACCACGAGAUAAUUAUGUUAUAUGUAAACCGACGGAAGCUAGAGAAAAGGUCAUAAUCAAAACUUGGAGAGGAUUUAAUUUAGGGCAGAUAUUCAGGGAAGAAGUCUUAAGGUAUGGAAUAACCAAUGAGAAAAGGUGAAGCAGAGUGUUCUAGAUAUUGAAAAAGACCAAGAAUGCCUAGGAUACACGUAGUAGUAGUAGUAAUAAAAUAACAUGUACUUUUAAAUGUGAACCGGCCAAAUGCGAUGGGCUUCUCCAUUCCACCAAGCUAGGCUCUCUGAUACCACUCGUGGUUCUCUCAAUGGGGCUGUGCUCACAUAAAUCUAAUAUCUCUGCUUUUAUCUUUCUUUUUUUAAUAAGUAAAGUUCAGUAUCUUUAUAUUUCCUGUAUCCAUUUCUAGAUAUUACUGUGCUUUUCCCUUCUAUAAUGCAGAAUGACCCAUUGGUUAUUUUAAAAUUACAAUUAUUGAAGUGUAUAUAAUAUAGGCUAAAAAAACAAAACAAAAACAAAAAAUGUUAUGAAUCAGGAAGGUAUGCCUCAUAAAAUGUUAUUACCCCAGUUAGGUCAGUCUACAGUUUUACAAAGCUAAUAUUAAAUACCUAUCUCACCACGAUUCAUGUAACUAGCACUCACUGUUCUUUGCUGAUUCUCUCUCUGUUUACAGGAGCAACAAUCAAACGUUCAGAUGUCCAGGUGCCGUAAAGUCCAGAAUGAGUUGGAAGAGGCUGAAGAGCGGGCAGACAUUGCUGAAAGCCAAGUCAACAAGCUCAGGAUGAGAACGAGAGAGACCGUAACCACGAAGGUUGGUUCAAUGAGUGGUUUUCCAGUGUGGCUUUCUAGAUACACUUUGCAGAUCACCUUAAGAUUUCUCCAAACCUCCCAGUUUAGUAAAUCAUUUUGUAGAAAUCAAGUGCCUUUGAAUGCAUGCAAAAACAUUGCAAACACUAUGAUAAUAUCUAUUAUUCAGCUGCCAAUAAGACCAUUUAAGGAGGAAAGCUCAAAUUAAAAUAAAAAUUGCGGCUUUGAAAGCGCCACUAGAAAACCACCAUACAUAGGGACAUAGAAUGUGACGGCAGAUAAGAACCAUUCGGCCCAUCUAGUCUGCCCGUUAUUUCAAAAUACUUUUAAUUAGUCCCUGGUCUUAUCUUAAGUCUAGGUUAGUUUGUAUUUAAAGUUGUUUUCCUCAUCUAUGUUCCCGACACAAGGUUACAAAACAUUGAAGACUCAUAUUAAAGAACUUGGUUGUUCUUAUAUUACAAACUCUUUACUAUGUUUUUUUUUUCAGGUGAUCAUGACAACUCAAGAGUAAAGAACAGAAAAUGGUAAAAAAAAAUAAAAAAUACACAAAAUGUGUGUUUUUAUUAUAUAAUUGAAAACGAUCUCCAUUAUGUGAACCAAAGAAAAUAAUUGACAUAGUGUAUUGAUUUAAUGUGGCAGUUGACAGAGAUCUUACACAAAUCUUUUUAACAUUAAAUAGAUUCCUCUUUACAAAACAAUAAAAGGACAAGGAUGUUGGACAUGAGAUUGUGAAUUACUUAGCAUGCUAACUCGCCAACUUCAACCCUGUGAUAAAAUCUCUGUUACUAGUACUGGGCUGCGCAGCUGAAUAUUUUACAAUUUUUAUACAACCUGUUAAUUCAGUUCUGUUAUUCAAGGAAGUAAAGAGUAAACUGUGGAUUAAAGGGGACAUGUUUUAAAUAGCUGCAUUGAUUUCAGAAGUAAUCUGCACUAUAUGACAUCACUAUGCAAUCUAAUAUGAAAAGUAUUUUAAAAUUUUGUAUUUGUAUUCUAUGAGAAAAUGUAGCAAAUUGACUGAGCCAGGAACUUCUUCUGUUGGUCUAUACAUUUGUUUUUAAAUUGGUCUCUAGUACAGAUUCCCCUCUUCUGAUUCCUCGUCAGUCCAUACAGUGAGUUGAACCUUAAUGACUGACCAGAGGCCAGCAGAGGAGUGUGUCCUCUGGAUUAUUGCCCCGUAUAGCGUGUUAUGUAGGAGCAAAUAGAAUAAACUCACACCCAUAACUUAGCUGUCUCACCAUCUCGACAUAUAGGUUGCUUUACACCUGGUGUGGGGAACCUUCGGCCCUCCAGAUGUUCUGCCCUACAUUUACCAUAAUGCUCUUACAGCCAUUCUGUUGGCAAAGCAUCAAGUGAGAUGUAGUCCACAUCAUUUGGAGGGCCAAAGGUUCCCUACCGCUGCUUUACGGUAUAUGUCCAGGCAGGCGAUGUUCUGUCCAUUACACUUUUUAGGUGAGGCAAGUUUUUUUAUUUUAUUUUUUAGCUACUUUUAUUAAAACACAUUAAAGCCCUAAUCACAGUCAAAAUAUACAGAACACUGGAAUCCCAUCACUUGCUGCUCUUGGUUAGAACAACCAGAAGUGGCACUCGAGAUAAAAUCUGCUUCUUUAUUAGUUAAGCUGAAUUUAGUUGUCCCAAUUCUCACUUCUCCCAAAGCCAUGGGGCAUGUUUAUAAUUCUUUAUAUAUAUUAAUAAUAAAGUAACAGAUUUUAUAUUGAGAGAUACGACUGGUUGUUAUAAGCAAAAGCAUUCUCUGUGGAAUUCCUGAGGGCUAUAGAUGGUGACUGUGUGGGUGUUUUCUUAUUAAGAGAGGAUACUAGGUAGUAUAUUCUACACAGAACCCGAGGCUAAAGUAUAGACUGAGGAUCAUGGGUGUUUGGUGGCAUGUAUGCAUGUGACAAACUGAGUGUUAAGGUUAUGUUAAGAAGAGCUUUGUGCAGCCAAUAAGAAAGGGAUUCUGCACCCUGCUUCUCUCCCAUUGGCUGAAUCCAGCUUAGAAUGCUGGAAUGCAGAUACAAUUUAUCUAUCAAGAAAGUUAAUAAGGGCCCUGACCACUUUCCAAUUAGAUAUCAAACUACAAAAUCAUGGAUGCGUUGAUGGACACAAUAAGGCAGGGGUUGACGAGCUGCUGUUGUAGAACUACAAAUUCUUAAGGCUUGCAAAGCAUCAUGGGAGGUGAAGUUCUACAAGAUUAUGGAAUCUAUCGUUUGCCCUCCUCUGCUACAGAAUUUUGGUGUGAUUCUCAGUAUCCCUUUAAGUGUAAUGGUUAAUAGUGCAUAUCACCUUGAGGAAUUCCUUCUUUAAGUCCCCCUGUUGGUCCUUGAAGGAAGAGAUGGGCAGCCCUACUGUAACAUUUUAUGCUUAUCACUGCCAUUAGUUGGUCCGGUUUCAAACUCCACAUGUGUAUGAAAGUAGAAGAGCUUGUGACGUCUGAUCUCUAAGAAAUAAACAUUCAAUACAUUGAAAUAUUCCCUGUGAAAUGCGUCUCUCUAUUUAUUGUUUGUCCUUGGGGUUUUGUGGCCCGCCACCUGGC